RNAcentral lists this ribosomal RNA (301 nucleotides) under uncultured bacterium. Its description in RNAcentral is "partial 16S ribosomal RNA". It matches the Rfam family "Bacterial small subunit ribosomal RNA", at positions 509 to 807 of the family's 1533-position model. The record is from RNAcentral.
CAGUAGCCGCGGUAAUACGGAGGGAGCUAGCGUUGUCCGGAAUUACUGGGCGUAAAGCGCGCGUAGGCGGUUACUCAAGUCAGAGGUGAAAGCCCGGGGCUCAACCCCGGAACUGCCUUUGAAUCUAGGUAACUAGAAUCUUGGAGAGGUCAGUGGAAUUCCGAGUGUAGAGGUGAAAUUCGUAGAUAUUCGGAAGAACACCAGUGGCGAAGGCGACUGACUGGACAAGUAUUGACGCUGAGGUGCGAAAGCGUGGGGAGCAAACAGGAUUAGAUACCCGGGUAGUCCCUGUCUCUUAUAC